This 197-nucleotide ribosomal RNA is filed under the name uncultured bacterium. RNAcentral's name for it is "partial 16S ribosomal RNA". It matches the Rfam family "Bacterial small subunit ribosomal RNA", at positions 328 to 539 of the family's 1533-position model. The record is from RNAcentral.
ACGCUCGACACCUACGGGAGGCAGCAGUCGGGAAUAUUGCGCAAUGGAGGAAACUCUGACGCAGUGACGCCGCGUGCAGGAAGAAGGUUUUCGGAUUGUAAACUGCUUUAGACAGGGAAGAAAAAGGCAGUACCUGUAGAAUAAGCUCCGGCUAACUACGUGCCACAGCCGCGGUAAUCUGAGCGGGCUGGCAAGGC